This 1242-nucleotide ribosomal RNA is filed under the name metagenome. RNAcentral's name for it is "bacterial LSU rRNA". It matches the Rfam family "Bacterial large subunit ribosomal RNA", at positions 1564 to 2816 of the family's 2925-position model. The record is from RNAcentral.
UGAUGACGAGACGCUAAGGCGUUGAAGUGGUGUAUGUCAGACUUCCAAGAAAAGCUCGCAAUGUCAUAGAUAAAAAAUGCCUGUACCAUAACCGACACAGGUGGGUAGGUAGAGUAUACUAAGGGGCGCGAGAUAACUCUCUCUAAGGAACUCGGCAAAAUGACUCCGUAACUUCGGGAGAAGGAGUGCCUUAUUUAUAAGGUUGCAAUAACAAGAUCCAAGCAACUGUUUAUCAAAAACACAGGUCUCCGCUAAGUCGUAAGACGAUGUAUGGGGGCUGACGCCUGCCCAGUGCCAGAAGGUUAAAGAAGUUGGUUAGCGUAAGCGAAGCUGAUAACUGAAGCCCUGGUGAACGGCGGCCGUAACAAUAACGGUCCUAAGGUAGCGAAAUUCCUUGUCGGGUAAGUUCCGACCCGCACGAAAGGCGUAAUGAUUUGGAUACUGUCUCGGAGAGAGGCUCGGUGAAAUAGACUUGUCUGUGAAGAUGCGGACUGCCUGCACCAGGACAGAAAGACCCUAUGAAGCUUUACUGUAACUUGAAAUUGGAAUUGGACUUUGCUUGCGCAGUAUAGGUGGGAAGCGUUGAAGAUACUCUUGCGGGACUAUUGGAGCUAUCAGUGAGAUACCACUCUUGUAAUGUUAGAUUUCUAACUUUGAACCAUAAUCUGGUCAAAGAACAGUUUCAGGCGGGCAGUUUGACUGGGGCGGUCGCCUCCUAAAUGGUAACGGAGGCGUACAAAGGUUUCCUCUGAACGGAUAGAAAUCGUAUCUAGAGUGUAAAGGCAUAAGGAAGCUUGACUGUGAGACCUACAAGUCGAGCAGGGACGAAAGUCGGUCUUAGUGAUCUGACGGUACUGAGUGGAAAGGCCGUCACUCAACGGAUAAAAGUUACUCUAGGAUAACAGGCUGAUCUCCCCCAAGAGUUCACAUCGACGGGGAGGUUUGGCACCUCGAUGUCGGCUCAUCGCAUCCUGGGGCGGUAGUACGUCCCAAGGGUUGGGCUGUUCGCCCAUGAAAGCGGUACGCGAGCUGGGUUCAGAACGUCGUGAGACAGUUCGGUCCAUAUCCGGUGUAGGCGUUAGAAUAUUGAGAGGAGCCUUCUUUAGUACGAGAGGACCGAGAAGGACACACCGCUGGUGUACCAGUUAUCGUGCCAACGGUAAACGCUGGGUAGCUAUGUGUGGAGAGGAUAACCGCUGAAAGCAUCUAAGUGGGAAGCCCACCUCAAGAUGAGUAUUCUCA